This 109-nucleotide small RNA is filed under the name Flavobacterium sp. 102. Its description in RNAcentral is "Flavo-1 RNA". It matches the Rfam family "Flavo-1 RNA". Lineage: Bacteria; Pseudomonadati; Bacteroidota; Flavobacteriia; Flavobacteriales; Flavobacteriaceae. The record is from RNAcentral.
AAAUAGCCCGGAUAGCAGUGAAAAUCCUUUUUAUAGUUUGUAAAAAGCCCUUCGACGGCGCUCAGGGUGACAAACUAUAAAAAGAUUGUAACGUAAAGCCGGAAAAAGC